UACGUAGGGUGCAAGCGUUAAUCGGAAUUACUGGGCGUAAAGCGUGCGCAGGCGGUUUUGUAAGUCUGUUGUGAAAUCCCCGGGCUCAACCUGGGAAUGGCAAUGGAGACUGCAAGGCUAGAGUUUGGCAGAGGGGGGUAGAAUUCCACGUGUAGCAGUGAAAUGCGUAGAUAUGUGGAGGAACACCGAUGGCGAAGGCGGCAUCCUGGACCGAAACUGACGCUGAGGCGCGAAAGCUAGGGGAGCAAACGGG
RNAcentral lists this ribosomal RNA (253 nucleotides) under uncultured bacterium. RNAcentral's name for it is "partial 16S ribosomal RNA". It matches the Rfam family "Bacterial small subunit ribosomal RNA", at positions 524 to 776 of the family's 1533-position model. The record is from RNAcentral.